UGUCCAGAAAGAGUCUACCCUGGCUGCUUUGUUUUUGAAUUGCUGUAACAGAAAGAAAGAAAAAUCCUUCUCUCUUUUCCCUCCCACUCCGUGGCCGGUCUCGAUUCCAUUUCCUCAGUAGGUUUUUCUUCCUUAUCUGCUGCCGCAUCCCAUUCCCAUUUCUUGUCUACAAAUUUCGCUUGUUUCUCUUGAGUCAUUGCCGUCCGAUUCCAUUUUGCUCCCAUGGCGGCGGCGGCGGCGCAGGAGCCGGAGGUGAUCCGUGACAAGGCAGCGAUGCGCGCUUGGUCGCGCCGCCGUCGCGCGGAGGGCAAGGCCGUCGCUUUGGUCCCCACCAUGGGCUUCCUCCACGACGGCCACCUCUCGCUCGUCUCCGCAGCGAGGGCGGCCGCCGCUGGCCCCGUCGCCGUCGUCGUAUCCAUCUACGUCAACCCCAGCCAGUUCGCCCCCACCGAGGACCUCGCCACCUACCCCUCCGACUUCGCGGGGGACCUUCGCAAGCUCGUCGCCACCGGCGUCGUUGCUGCAGUUUUCUGCCCCCCGGACCUCUACGUCCGCGGAAGCGCUGGCCGCCCGACCGCCAGCGCAUCCGGGGGCGCGGCCUCCUGCCUGGAGGAGGCCGGUGGGCAUGCGCACGAGACGUGGAUUCGCGUGGAGCAGCUGGAGAAGGGGCUGUGCGGGAGCAGCAGGCCCGUCUUCUUUCGCGGCGUGGCCACCGUGGUCGCCAAGCUGUUCAAUAUCGUCGAGCCGGACAUCGCGGUGUUCGGGAAGAAGGAUUAUCAACAGUGGCGCGUCAUCUGCCGGAUGGUUCGUGAUCUUGAUUUCGCCAUUGAGAUUAUUGGCUCAGAAAUAGUGCGAGAAGCUGAUGGUCUUGCCAUGAGCUCCCGCAAUGUACACCUCUCGUGUGAGGAAAGGGAAAAGGUGAAAAGUUGUGAAUCAAAAUUUCGGCCAUGCAGCAGGAAUUACUCGCCGCCGCUGUUUUCCAUGCUUCUCCUCUUUUGAUUUGAACAGUAAUCAGUUUGUUUGCACAAUAACAUUUAUGUGGUUAUUAUGACUCAAUAGGUGAGAGGUUGAGACAUAACAAUUUUAUUUAUUACAUGGCAGGCUGCUCCAUGUUUCCUAGAAGAUACCGUAUUUUCAAGUGUUGAUCAUUGUAUAUACUUUUUGUAAAUACCUUUUGUUCCUUUCUCAAAAUAAACAUGUCCUUCAAGUGUGAUGAUCUCCUAUGUAGGCAUUAUCCAUUAGUAGGUCACUGGUGAAUGCUAGAACCUCUGUGCUGAAUGGAAACAAUCAUGGCCAACAAAUAAAAGAUCAAAUAGUGCAGACACUUACAGAAGCUGGCGGUCAGGUUGACUAUGUUGAGAUUGUGGAGCAAGAAAGCCUGACGCCAGUUGAGAGGAUCGAUCGCCCUGCUGUGAUUUGUGUGGCAGCAUGGUUUGGGAAGGUGAGGUUGAUUGACAAUAUCGAGCUCCAGGCACCAUCGUGAGAUUUGGAAAUCGGAUGAGCCUCGAACGAAUAUGUGUUCAUUGAGGGUGGCUUCUUGUUCUGUACCAAUACCAAACAGAGUGCUGUUGCAGUUUCGGUCCCUAACUUUUUGUCUAGAUUAAUAAUGGUGAUGCUGCUGUAUGUAUGUACACCAUGCAACCACGUAUAGAUAGCUAGUAGCCACCCAUUGUUCUGAAAGUCACUUAAUUGGAUGUUCAACUCUUUUCUGGAAGGAAACCUGGGUUAAAGACCAACCUCUAUGCCGUCUGUAUCCUGUGCUGUAAAGAUAUCACAGUUAAGUCUUUUAUAGCUCUGAAUGGUCAGCUGACUUUCAGAAGAUGGGUACCCCAAUUCCUUUUUUGACCAA
Molecule: RNA transcript, 1849 nt
Organism: Panicum virgatum (switchgrass)
Lineage: Eukaryota; Viridiplantae; Streptophyta; Magnoliopsida; Poales; Poaceae
Gene name: pantoate--beta-alanine ligase
Exons: 4
Source: RefSeq, a predicted model, not a curated record